GCCCAGAUAGCUCAGUUGGGAGAGCGUCAGACUGAAGAUCUGAAGGUCAUGUGUUCGAUCCACAUUGUGGGCA
RNAcentral lists this transfer RNA (73 nucleotides) under Flavobacteriales bacterium. RNAcentral's name for it is "tRNA-Phe". It matches the Rfam family "tRNA". From Rfam's summary of the family: Transfer RNA (tRNA) molecules are approximately 80 nucleotides in length. Lineage: Bacteria; Pseudomonadati; Bacteroidota; Flavobacteriia; Flavobacteriales. The record is from RNAcentral.